GGGUGAUUAGCUCAGUUGGCUAGAGCGUUUGCUUGACGUGCAAAAGGUCAGUGGUUCGAGUCCACUACCACCCA
This 74-nucleotide transfer RNA is filed under the name Candidatus Altimarinota bacterium. RNAcentral's name for it is "tRNA-Val". It matches the Rfam family "tRNA". Rfam says of the family: Transfer RNA (tRNA) molecules are approximately 80 nucleotides in length. Their secondary structure includes four short double-helical elements and three loops (D, anti-codon, and T loops). Further hydrogen bonds mediate the characteristic L-shaped molecular structure. tRNAs have two regions of fundamental functional importance: the anti-codon, which is responsible for specific mRNA codon recognition, and the 3' end, to which the tRNAs corresponding amino acid is attached (by aminoacyl-tRNA synthetases). tRNAs cope with the degeneracy of the genetic code in two manners: having more than one tRNA (with a specific anti-codon) for a particular amino acid; and 'wobble' base-pairing, i.e. permitting non-standard base-pairing at the 3rd anti-codon position. Lineage: Bacteria; Candidatus Altimarinota. The record is from RNAcentral.